Molecule: ribosomal RNA, 483 nt
Filed under: uncultured bacterium
Lineage: Bacteria
Description: partial 16S ribosomal RNA
Rfam family: Bacterial small subunit ribosomal RNA
Source: RNAcentral
GACGAACGCUGGCGGCGUGCUUAACACAUGCAAGUCGAACGCUGAAGCUCAGCUUUUGUUGGGUGGAUGAGUGGCGAACGGGUGAGUAACACGUGAGUAACCUGCCCCCUUCUUUGGGAUAACGCCCGGAAACGGGUGCUAAUACUGGAUAUUCACUGGUCUUCGCAUGGGGGUUGGUGGAAAGGGUUUUUCUGGUGGGGGAUGGGCUCGCGGCCUAUCAGCUUGUUGGUGGGGUGAUGGCCUACCAAGGCUUUGACGGGUAGCCGGCCUGAGAGGGUGACCGGUCACAUUGGGACUGAGAUACGGCCCAGACUACUACGGGAGGCAGCAGGGGGGAAUAUUGCACAAUGGGCGGAAGCCUGAUGCAGCGACGCCGCGUGAGGGAUGGAGGCCUUCGGGUUGGGAACCUCUUUCGCUAAUGGUCAAGCCGCAACAAUGGUUGUGGUGAGGGUAGUGGGUAAAGAAGCGCCGGCUAACUACGUG